GUGGAGAUGGCUCAGUGGCUAAGAGCAUUGACUAGGCAUCCAGAGUCCUGAGUUCAAUUCCCAGCAACCACA
RNAcentral lists this transfer RNA (72 nucleotides) under Mus musculus (house mouse). RNAcentral describes it as "tRNA-Pro". Lineage: Eukaryota; Metazoa; Chordata; Mammalia; Rodentia; Muridae. The record is from RNAcentral.